CCAUUCCGUAUCAGAUGUUUUUUU
Molecule: small nuclear RNA, 24 nt
Filed under: Arabidopsis thaliana (thale cress)
Lineage: Eukaryota; Viridiplantae; Streptophyta; Magnoliopsida; Brassicales; Brassicaceae
Description: snRNA_16887
Source: RNAcentral